Molecule: ribosomal RNA, 465 nt
Filed under: uncultured bacterium
Lineage: Bacteria
Description: partial 16S ribosomal RNA
Rfam family: Bacterial small subunit ribosomal RNA
Source: RNAcentral
GACGAACGCUGGCGGCGUGCUUAACACAUGCAAGUCGAACGGAAAGGCCCUGCUUGCAGGGUACUCGAGUGGCGAACGGGUGAGUAACACGUGGGUGAUCUGCCCUGCACUUCGGGAUAAGCCUGGGAAACUGGGUCUAAUACCGGAUAGGAGCCAUUUUUAGUGUGAUGGUUGGAAAGUUUUUUCGGUGUAGGAUGAGCUCGCGGCCUAUCAGCUUGUUGGUGGGGUAAUGGCCUACCAAGGCGGCGACGGGUAGCCGGCCUGAGAGGGUGGACGGCCACAUUGGGACUGAGAUACGGCCCAGACUCCUACGGGAGGCAGCAGUGGGGGAUAUUGCACAAUGGGCGCAAGCCUGAUGCAGCGACGCCGCGGGGGGGAUGACGGCCUUCGGGUUGUAAACUCCUUUCGCUAGGGACGAAGCUUUUUGUGACGGUACCUAGAUAAGAAGCACCGGCUAACUACGUG